This is an RNA transcript of Helicoverpa armigera (cotton bollworm), 788 nucleotides long. RefSeq lists it as uncharacterized. Lineage: Eukaryota; Metazoa; Arthropoda; Insecta; Lepidoptera; Noctuidae. The record is from RefSeq and is a predicted model, not a curated record. The transcript is spliced from 3 exons.
UCUAUUAUAGUAACGAGGAUUUCACGUGCCUGCACGCCAUGCAUGACCCAUCAUUAUGACCCAUAAACAGCCGUAACCUGGUAUAGCGAAGAUCAGCUUUGUUUUAGCGAGAACAUAAUGACCUACCGAUAGUUUUAUUCUAGUGAAAUUGUUUAUACUUUCAGUUCACGCAUUGUUUACUCUUGGACCGAUAACUCGUACUUUUUUAAUUAAAACACGCUUAUCUUCAAGUCUUACUAUGUCAAACUUUUAUUUUCUAGGAUUUAUAUUGUUCGUUUCGUGUGGGCUUAGGUGUGGGUAUGCCUUGUACAACGGUAACCCGCAUGUGGUGGAGCUCACGCCAUUUAACUUCAAGGAUCUAGUCGUUAAAAGUGAUGAGGUUUGGUUGGUUGAAUACUACGUGCCAUGGUGCGGCUACUGUCAGAGACUAGCUCCUGAUUUCAAGCUUGCAGCUGAAGCAUUGAAGGGCAUUAUCAAAGUUGGAGCUGUAAAUGGUGAGAAACAUAAAAUGUUCAUCGCCGAAGCAAACAUCAAAUCCUACCCCACUUUAAAGAUUUUCACAAAUACGACAAAUUUUAUUUACAAAGGCAGAAGAGUGGUAGAAGGUUUGGUUGAAGCCUGCUUAACUGCCUCGAGGUACGAAGUCUAUAAGCGCCUCGGCAAGAACCCAGACGAUUACUCAUCGAUUAAAAUAAAGGCCUUAAGAGAAUUUGAUGCACUGGUUAAGAAUUACCUGCCUCAAAGUAAAGUGUUAAAUGAGAAUAAUGAUUGCAAAAUAAAAUAAUAAU